Molecule: ribosomal RNA, 390 nt
Filed under: uncultured bacterium
Lineage: Bacteria
Description: bacterial SSU rRNA
Rfam family: Bacterial small subunit ribosomal RNA
Source: RNAcentral
AGCGAACGCUGGCGGCGUACUCAACACAUGCAAGUCGAACGAGGAGCUUCGGUGUAGCAAUACGUCGGAGCCUCUAGUGGCGUACGGGUGAGUAACACGUGGGCAACCUGCCCUUGAGUCCGGGAUGCCCUUCCGAAAGAAAGGCUAAUACUGGAUACGUUCCUUGGGUCGCGAGACUUAAGGACGAAAGGUAGCGAAAGCUGCCGCUCUUGGAGGGGCUCGCGGCCUAUCAGCAGUUGGUGAGGUAACGGCUCACCAAGGCUAUGACGGGUAGCUGGUCUGAGAGGACGACCAGCCACACGGGAACUGAGACACGGUCCCGACUCCUACGGGAGGCAGCAGUGGGGAAUUUUCCGCAAUGGGCGAAAGCCUGACGGAGUGACGCCGCGU